RNAcentral lists this ribosomal RNA (292 nucleotides) under uncultured bacterium. Its description in RNAcentral is "partial 16S ribosomal RNA". It matches the Rfam family "Bacterial small subunit ribosomal RNA", at positions 505 to 796 of the family's 1533-position model. The record is from RNAcentral.
GUUUCAGCAGCCGCGGUAAUACGGAGGGGGCUAGCGUUGCUCGGAAUUACUGGGCGUAAAGCGCACGUAGGCGGCGAUGAUAGUCAGAUGUGAAAGGCCUGGGCUUAACCCGGGAACUGCAUUUGAUACUGCAUUGCUAGAGUCCGAGAGAGGGUAGUGGAAUUCCCAGUGUAGAGGUGAAAUUCGUAGAUAUUGGGAAGAACACCAGUGGCGAAGGCGGCUACCUGGCUCGGUACUGACGCUCAGGUGCGAAAGCGUGGGGAGCAAACAGGAUUAGAUACCCCUGUAGUCC